RNAcentral lists this ribosomal RNA (497 nucleotides) under uncultured bacterium. RNAcentral describes it as "partial 16S ribosomal RNA". It matches the Rfam family "Bacterial small subunit ribosomal RNA", at positions 28 to 507 of the family's 1533-position model. The record is from RNAcentral.
GAUGAACGCUGGCGGCGUGCCUAAUACAUGCAAGUCGAGCGAACAGACGAGGGGCUUGCUCCUCUGACGUUAGCGGCGGACGGGUGAGUAACACGUGGAUAACCUACCUAUAAGACUGGGAUAACUUCGGGAAACCGGAGCUAAUACCGGAUAAUAUAUUGAACCGCAUGGUUCAAUAGUGAAAGACGGUUUUGCUGUCACUUAUAGAUGGAUCCGCGCCGCAUUAGCUAGUUGGUAAGGUAACGGCUUACCAAGGCAACGAUGCGUAGCCGACCUGAGAGGGUGAUCGGCCACACUGGAACUGAGACACGGUCCAGACUCCUACGGGAGGCAGCAGUAGGGAAUCUUCCGCAAUGGGCGAAAGCCUGACGGAGCAACGCCGCGUGAGUUAUGAAGGUCUUCGGAUCGUAAAACUCUGUUAUUAGGGAAGAACAAAUGUGUAAGUAACUAUGCACGUCUUGACGGUACCUAAUCAGAAAGCCACGGCUAACUACGUG